GACGAACGCUGGCGGCGUGCUUAACACAUGCAAGUCGAACGGAGUUCUUCAAGUGGAUCCUUCGGGUGAAGCUUGUUGAACUUAGUGGCGGACGGGUGAGUAACACGUGGGUAAUCUACCAUAAAGACCAGGACAACAGUUGGAAACGACUGCUAAUACCGGAUGUUGUGCACUGGCGGCAUCGCCUAUGCAUUAAAGGAGGCCUCUUAACAAUGCUCCGCUUUAAUGAUGAGCCCGCGUCUGAUUAGAUAGUUGGUGAGGUAACGGCUCACCAAGUCGACGAUCAGUAGCCGGACUGAGAGGUUGAACGGCCACAUUGGGACUGAGACACGGCCCAAA
This 339-nucleotide ribosomal RNA is filed under the name uncultured bacterium. Its description in RNAcentral is "bacterial SSU rRNA". It matches the Rfam family "Bacterial small subunit ribosomal RNA", at positions 28 to 335 of the family's 1533-position model. The record is from RNAcentral.